Molecule: long non-coding RNA, 1053 nt
Organism: Cucumis melo (muskmelon)
Lineage: Eukaryota; Viridiplantae; Streptophyta; Magnoliopsida; Cucurbitales; Cucurbitaceae
Exons: 6
Source: RefSeq, a predicted model, not a curated record
UAAAAGAACCCUAACUUCCCCCCUCAUAUUUCUCUUCUCAGUCGCAAGCCCCCAUUCAUUGAAAGUCGUCGCUGAAGACGUUGCAUUCGUCCAUCGCUGAAGACGUUACGUUCGUCCAUCGCUAAAGAUUUGGUGUGUUCAUCCGUCGUCGUUCAGAAUAGGUUUGUCCGCCGCCACAACAGGUUGUCUGUCACCGUUCACAGGUUGUUCUAUUGCUUAGUUGGGUUUGUGUAAUCUGUGGCGAAUUUGAAGUGCUUUUGAUCGUGUUCUAUACACUUUUGAAGUGCUUUUGAUCGUGUUUUGUACACUUUUGAAGGUCAGUUUUUAGAAGCCUCCAUCUUGUUGCUUUGUACUUGACUUUUGUUAAUGGAACAUUUCGACUAUUGUGGUACUGUAUUUCAUUCUUGUGAAGUUUGAAUUGGAUAUGUUGUUAGAGUCUAUUAAUGUAACAUUCAAGCGGGUUGAAGACUUAUUAGGAAAAACAAUGGUAUAUUACUACAUGUUUCGAGGUUGCCGUGUAAAAAAUUGGAAGACUAUGUAGUUAUUGAGCAUAUUGGGAAGGGAGCAUUUGGAUUGGUUUUUCUUGUUUAUCACAAGACUGAGAAGAAAAAUUUUGUUCGAGAAAUCUAGGGCAAAGACUACUAUGGCUCAUAAGGUAGACCACGAGUAUGACUAUUUGUUCAAGAUUGUUCUGAUUGGAGAUUCCGAUGUUGGAAAGUUCAACAUUCUUUCGAGAUUUAUUAGAAACGAGUUCUUCUUGGAGUCCAAACCCACCAUUGAUCUUUUGGGUUAGAUAAACAAGUUUUUUUUAUACUAGAUAUAAGUGAACUAGUUUUGUUGAUAUUUUAUUGAUAGUGGAUAUAGGUAAAUUAAAAGACAAGUUUUGAUAUAGUAUACCUUUAGGCUACACAUAUACUUUGUUUAUAUCGACAUAUAGAUGGAAUGUUUAGGCUAUUGUUAGAAGUUUGGCGUGCACAUAUAUAUGUUGUAAUGAAAUAUGUAAUGACCAACUAAUAUAUGUACGGUUCAUUGAUAUAUAUGCAAUUUCUUUGA